AUCCUCGUCGCGAACGGGCAGGUCGCGGUGUCCUCCCGGGACGCGAAGGGCCGCGUGUUCGACCUCGCCGAGCGCG
Molecule: transfer RNA, 76 nt
Filed under: Microbacterium saccharophilum
Lineage: Bacteria; Bacillati; Actinomycetota; Actinomycetes; Micrococcales; Microbacteriaceae
Description: tRNA-Gly
Source: RNAcentral